Molecule: ribosomal RNA, 327 nt
Filed under: uncultured eukaryote
Lineage: Eukaryota
Description: partial 18S ribosomal RNA
Rfam family: Eukaryotic small subunit ribosomal RNA
Source: RNAcentral
CCCGGCCCUUAGAUGUUCGGGGCCGCACGCGUGCUACACUGAGUGGAUCAGCGGGUCAGGUUGCGCGAAAGCGUUUCCUAAUCUUUAAAUCCGCUCGUGAUGGGGAUUGACGGUUGCAAUUUUCUGUCAUGAACGAGGAAUACCUUGUAAGCGCGGGUCAUCAUCCCGCGCUGAAUACGUCCCUGCCCUUUGUACACACCGCCCGUCGCUCCUACCGAUUGAGUGGUCCGGUGAGGCUUUGGGAUCUGAGCGGAAAGAGCGUUUCGCUGUUUCUGCUCGGAAAACUCAGUCGAACCUUAUCAUUUAGAGGAAGGGGAAGUCGUAACA